AUUAUUACACCGACUCAAAAACGUUUAAGAUACCAGAUUUUAACCAGACUGUGGUUAACGAUUUUCAGGGGAAAGUCGAUAGUGCAUUCGAAGAGUCACCUGCUGACGUCACUGGGCGACGUCCAUACUGUUGAUUCACGUUCUAACGUCUGUAGCACAACUGUACAUGCAAUCUAGUUAUUUUUCAACAUAUUAUUUUUACACUCUCUCUCUCUCUCUCUCUCUCUCUCUCUCUCUCUCUCUCUCUCUCUCUCUCUCUCUCAUUCACUCACUCAACCCUUUGGAAUAAACUGGAGCAUGGCUGCACCCCCAGACCUCCUCGGUCAACGUCGCUGUCUGAUUGCACUAAUGGUGUGUGGAAGUUGGGGUCUAAGCACAGGGUCUGCUAUGAAACAGCAACACUAGAGCAGUGAUGGCUAGGGGCCUUGCUCAAGGGCCCAACAGUGGUGGCUUGGCAGUGCUGGAGCUUGAACCCUGAUCCUCUAAUCAACAACCCACUUUGUUGAGGAUGAGUCUCAACCGCUGAGCGUCCACUGCCAACAGCAAAGGGAAACUAAAUCUGAAGGUUGUUCAGAAAGAACGCUUGAAUGUUAUAGUUAGGUGUCCACCAACUUCAGUCACGUAUUUGGGAUUCACAUCGUAGUGACAAUUAAAUAAAAACAUUUUUAGUCACACAAAGACAAUCAUGCAUGGCUUUAUAGUACAUACGGAUAGUACAGUAUAACAUGCGAGGACGCAAGACGGUAUGUGCCUUGAUUGAAAUAUGACUAUUAAAGAAUAAACAAAGAUGAAGAGUUCUCUCAUUAAUAUGGGUGUCACAUUUAUUAUCACACACUAGAGGUAAAUACGUACAGUACAUUUUUCCCUCAAAAAAAAACAAAAAAAAAACGUAAAACUUCAAGUUUGGAAUGUGAUAUAGUGAGAAAAGUGAAGCUUAAAGUAACCCAAGCGUUGAGGAAAUGAUGCUGCACACUGGUGUGAGGGGAAAAAACACAAAUGCAAGCUACCAGUGAAGUGUGAGCAGUGCACCUUAAAGUGGAAAAACUACAUCACCUUUAAUUGUAAUUGUAAAGGCUAAAGACUU
This is a long non-coding RNA of Tachysurus fulvidraco (yellow catfish), 1084 nucleotides long. RefSeq lists it as uncharacterized. NCBI's taxonomy places the organism in Eukaryota, Metazoa, Chordata, Actinopteri, Siluriformes, Bagridae. The transcript has 2 exons. The record is from RefSeq and is a predicted model, not a curated record.